This 222-nucleotide long non-coding RNA is filed under the name Nicotiana benthamiana. RNAcentral's name for it is "long non-coding RNA (NBEN_LNC006132)". The record is from RNAcentral. Lineage: Eukaryota; Viridiplantae; Streptophyta; Magnoliopsida; Solanales; Solanaceae.
ACUUGGACAUUUCCAUCAAUCCAAUACUUUGCAAAACUUGGGAGGUGACAAAAAAAAUAGUUUGGCAGAAUCUGGCAGAACUCAGCUAAUCAGGCUGGUAAAUGAACCUGGAGAGCUAAAUUUUAUUUGCACCAGGUCAAACAGUUGGUUAGAAUCCAGGAGAUCCGUGAAUAUGCCACAACAUGGAAAAGCAAUGUAAUAGCUAGAUAGGAGGAUUUGAAA